UGGGAUCCUCUACUGGAUGGUUAACAGCAGCUUUGGUAACUGUAUGCUGUCCAUACCCAAUUAUGCUCUGCUAAAAAUGAACUCUGCAGAACAACCUUCCUGAGCUGUCAGUGUCUCCCGUUUUCCUAUUUUAACGCUUGUGUGUAGUGGCAGGCGACAGAUGGUGUAGAUCAGAUCGAUUUGAUUGCAUUAGGCGAUUUUUUUUUUUUUCCUCCUCUCCCCCCCGACUCCUUUUCUGGAAGCCCACAUUCAUCUGAGAGGCGAUCGCCGGGGACAUGGGAAGCAAGAGCAGCCGCCGAUGUGUGAAAGCAACGAGACAUGGCCAGCCAGAGGCGCCGGGGUCCCUUCAUGGGGUUUGUUAACAUGGUAAUCCGGCACCAGGAGAGAAAGCUGCUUUCUGCUGCCCAGAGCCCAUUCCCCAUCACACAUCAGAUGACUCCCUGGUUUUACACACAGUUGGAGUUCUGCUCGAAACCUGGAUUUAAAGGCUGCCAUUUAGAAUACGACUUGAGAGCUUGCUGUGUUAGAGGAAUACAGGAAAUUACACCUACAAUGAGAUUAAAAUAGAGGAGAGUGUGUUGGAAAUAUUUUUUUUAAUUAUUUAAGGAAUCUGUUGCUGCGUAUGACAUCUCUUGCAAGCUCCCAGAGAGAAUUGAUGGAGCAUACAGCUAGGGAAUAGGAUACCAGAGAAGCACAGAGGAAGAAACCAGGCAAUCACCAGGAUGGAAAGGUUCAGCGUCCAUUGGAUAUGGGACAAGAUCGCUCGGCAACCCUUGUGGAUUCUCCUUCUUCUAGAGGCGAAUUAUAGUUAUGGAUUUAUUGUCCCGGUGCCGCACUUCCACCACCAGCAACAGCAGCAGCUUUCUGACUCUCUUCGGUGACGGGUAUUCUUGGGUGGAUAAUACGGAUUACGUUGUUAUUGCUUAAGAAUACGCGUAGUCGAGGAGAGUACCGGCGGCGGGCAGGCAGGCAGGCAGCGCGACCGCCCCCAGCCCACCAGCUGGCUCCUCACCUCCUCUAGUUGCCAAGCUGUACAGCCUAAGUUUCGUGGACUAGCCCAUCUUCCUUCCUUCUUCACCAUGCCAAAUCACCCAUGGAAAGCUGUAGAUCUUCAGUCUGUGGGGACAAUCUAACAACAGCAACUUCUGGGGGUGCUGCUACAAGGUGAGCCUUGGACUCUGCCUACGGUCUGUGCUCCCAGAUGUCAGCCUAUGACAGCAGAUGGAGGGACGCCCGGAGCUCUGCUUCCCCCAGGCACUGCACUGGGCAUUUGCUGCUCCCAGAGCUGCCGCACGCCAUGGGACUCCCAGCUGCCGGAUGCCUGACCCAGCUCGACUGCUGGUGGAGAUGUGUUGGGGCUGGCUUUGCCCUGCUUGCUGCUGCCUGCAUGCCUUAUUCUUCUGACUUAUGCCCCAGCCCAUUCCCAUCCCAUUGUGCUGCUGCCUCUGGGCUGUAUUGAGUUUUCAAUUAUCACAAUAUACAAUGCAGAUGCUAUGUAAAACAGCCAGCAUCGCUGGAGCACGCUGAACUCAGUAGAAACACAGUUAAAUAAAAGUAAUACUAUAAUACCAGGAGGCUGAUUGGAACCACAAGAUACCAGUGUCAUAUCCUGUGGCUUUUAUGUUGGUAGACGUAGAUUUUAGCCAUUAGAGUCUAGCUAUCCAACAGAUAACAACCAGAGGAAAUGGGUCUGGGUAUCUUCAAUUGUGAAUAACUGAUACACAUUUGCCAAUAAAUGGAGGACUUGGUAAACUGCCAGAUGAAGAAAACAUUUGACGUACAUACAAAUAUAAUCAAGCAUUUAAUAUGGUGUAGCAUCUAACUAUGUGUAACUUAAAGAAACUCCCUGAUUACACACAAGAGAGCUCUGACUUCAGACAAGCAAUGUGUGGUUGCACUGUCAACUCCAAAUUCAGGCAAGGAGAUAAACAGCAAGUGUGGAUCUCAACUUAUAUAUUUGUACCAGCAGCAACAACCUCCCAGAUGACAAUGAUAUUGUAAUAUCUAUGUGGGUGUAAAAUGCUAUGACAAAAGAGGAAGAAAUAAGAAAAAAUACAGUAAUGUCAAGUUUGCCUGUUAACUUUUACAGAAGCUCAGCAUCUGGAAUUUUAGUAUGUGUUAUGCAGACAAAUGUAAAGAGAGAAACGCAUUAACUGUGUUUUUCUCCAAAGCAAAAUGAAAUAAGCAUUCAGAGCAAAUUAUUAUAUUUAGUACUCUCAGGGCAAAUUCUAGUUGAGGAUUGUGAAGUAAUUUCAAAAUAUUAAUGAAUUAGCCUCACAGCUAUCUUUCAGGUAGAUAAUAAUGAUAAUUGUUACUACAAAUAAAUAUUAUUAUUAUCAGUCUUGCUCCAAGAAAUGAACAUUGAUGCAUAGAGAAUUUAUGUCUUUGUUUUACUACUGUAACCAUCCUUCUCUAGAACUAUUAUAUAUUAAGAUUAUCCUUUUCCAAAUACUGUGUGUGAUACUAUUCACUUUAUAAGGUCUAAAAACCAGCCAACUGAGCUUCCUUGUGAAACAGUGCCAGUGAACAUCUCCAUUUGCAUUUGAAUUCUCAAGCAGCAACAAUCUUGCUUUAAAAAAAAAAAAAAAAGAAGAAAAAAGGAA
This is a long non-coding RNA of Lepidothrix coronata (blue-crowned manakin), 2603 nucleotides long. RefSeq lists it as uncharacterized. The record is from RefSeq and is a predicted model, not a curated record. NCBI's taxonomy places the organism in Eukaryota, Metazoa, Chordata, Aves, Passeriformes, Pipridae. The transcript has 6 exons.